Molecule: long non-coding RNA, 2407 nt
Filed under: Oryctolagus cuniculus (rabbit)
Lineage: Eukaryota; Metazoa; Chordata; Mammalia; Lagomorpha; Leporidae
Description: lncRNA (ENSOCUG00000032022.1)
Source: RNAcentral
ACCGCUCUGGAAAGCUGGUUCUAGAUCCAAAGCUCAUGGAGCUGGAGAAGUCUAGAACCACAGGGCGGGGCUCUAGAUCCACUCAGAGAGCUGCGUCGCAGGAUUCACGUGCAGCCAAGACAGCAAGCACCGCCUCACUGCCCAGGCUGGAGGGCAGGGGCUCCUCCUCCUCCCCCCGCCCAGCAAAGGGGCGGAGUUAACGUGCCACAAACCUAGGGGGGAAGUCUACACAGCUUUUUUCUUUUUGUCAAAGCACCUAUAGCAAGAGAGGAACGGAGUGGGGCCGGACCCUUUAGGCCCUUGUCCAAGCACAACAGAAGUCCGGCUUUGUAACCUGAUGAGGGUUUUAGGCUAUGAAAAACGAUGCCAAUUUCACACCACGUUCACCAUCUGAGAGUUGGAUGGAUCCAGCUGGAAGUCCCAAGGUCGGAGACCCGGUUUGGGGUUAAGACGGCCCUUUUAGCGUUUUAGGGGUGAUUAUACCUAAUUUACCCCCAGGAAACCCUUUGUCCUGGAGGAGGGGGAGGAGAAGCAAUGGGAAGAACUGGGCUCCAUUCCCUGGUAAGCUCCGGUCGGAAUACAGACGUGCUCAGCCGUUCUCUUGCACUGCCUGCCCGGCCUGCCAGGUGUAUCCUCCAUUCAACCAGGAGCCCCGCUCAGCACUGCCGCACUGCUUGGUGUGUGCUCUCUCAUUCAACCAGGAGCCCCGCUCGGCACUGCCGCACUGCUUGGUGUGUGCGCUCUCUCAUUCAACCAGGAGCCCCGCUCAGCACUGCCGCACUGCUUGGUGUGUGUGCUCUCUCAUUCAACCAGGAGCCCCGCUCGGCACUGCCGCACUGCUUGGUGUGUGCGCUCUCUCAUUCAACCAGGAGCCCCGCUCAGCACUGCCGCACUGCUUGGUGUGUGUGCUCUCUCAUUCAACCAGGAGCCCCGCUCGGCACUGCCGCACUGCUUGGUGUGUGCGCUCUCUCAUUCAACCAGGAGCCCCGCUCGGCACUGCCGCACUGCUUGGUGUGUGCGCUCUCAUUCAACCAGGAGCCCCGCUCAGCACUGCCGCACUGCUUGGUGUGUGUGCGCUCUCAUUCAACCAGGAGCCCCGCUCGGCACUGCGGUACUGCUUGGUGUGCGCUCUCAUUCAACCAGGAGCCCCGCUCGGCACUGCGGUACUGCUUGGUGUGUGCGCUCUCUCAUUCAACCAGGAGCCCCGCUCAGCACUGCCGCACUGCUUGGUGUGUGCUCUCUCAUUCAACCAGGAGCCCUGCUCAGCACUGCUGUCUCACGUUGGAACUCCUCUUUGCACGGAGACAAGAACCUAUGUCCCCAUCCCCGCCGGCACCACCAGGUCACCAACCUGCUGCCCAGGACCUGGGAGUUGGGGUCCCACCUUUGUGCUCUGCCUUCUUGUAAGAUUCCCAGGGCAACUCUGGGAGUCGGCCAGGCUCCCCUCUGCCGCUCCGCGAAGGUCCACCAAACCAAAUGAACCCGGCUCCUACCAGUUCCUGUGCCCAGCUCCUACCAGUUCCGGUGGGCGGUGCUCCGUAGCCUGCUUCCUGUGCCCACUGGGUUCUGUUGUGCUCCCAGGGCCAGAGGCCCAGCACCAAGGGGCAGAGCCGCUCCCUUCGGAGCAAGUGGCCGGCUGACACCAAGGAGUUCGCUCUACCCCUGAUGCUGUGGCCUCACAGCCCUGGAGACACAGGAGGUGGAAAAUCCACCGUCCGAUCCCAGACACGAGCCCCCAGGAUUCGUGUGCAGAGACAAGACACCAAGGCCUUCAACAGGAAGUCGUGUUUUAUUAUUUACGCCGGCAUAAAGCACAGGUGGAAUUCCUUAUCCACAAGCCCGCCCCAGCAGAGGGGAUUGCCCAAGAUACGGUUGUAGUCUCUGUCUCCCUUAUAUGGUUACCUGCACACAUGUGAGGCAUGGGUACAACACUGCACAUGCGCACGCAGUUCCCGAUGGUGUUCUUGCACACAUACUGAGCUGUGAGCUGUCCGGCAAGGGUUAACGCCGGUGCUGGGCAGGCAGGGCACUCCCAGGCCAGCAGAGAGGAGGCAGUUCCCCUCCCCUGCCCUUGGGAAGCCGGCUACCACAACUUCAGCCGGGCCAGUGAGAAACAAGUUUAAAAGACACGGGCUUCUACCACGGCUGGAGGUGGAUCCACAACCACAGGGCCACAGGACUGGAAGCCCAGAGAGGCCUCCCGCGCUAUCUCGUCCGAUUUCCCACUAAACGUGGCUCUGCCCACAGAGCUCGCUUGCAUACCCACAGGAACGGCGAGCUCACGCCCAGAGCUUUAGGAAGUCCUUUUUAGAUCGAGCCCGAAUACCUCUCCCCGACACACCCUCCUGUCCUGGCGUCUCGGGACAGACUCUGGCUAGGUGAACGCGUGCAUUCAAACACUGCCACG